RNAcentral lists this ribosomal RNA (483 nucleotides) under uncultured bacterium. RNAcentral describes it as "partial 16S ribosomal RNA". It matches the Rfam family "Bacterial small subunit ribosomal RNA", at positions 29 to 506 of the family's 1533-position model. The record is from RNAcentral.
AUUGAACGCUGGCGGCAUGCUUUACACAUGCAAGUCGAACGGCAGCGCGGGCUUCGGCCUGGCGGCGAGUGGCGAACGGGUGAGUAAUGCAUCGGAACGUGCCCAGUAGUGGGGGAUAGCCCGGCGAAAGCCGGAUUAAUACCGCAUACGACCUGAGGGUGAAAGCGGGGGACCGAAAGGCCUCGCGCUAUUGGAGCGGCCGAUGUCGGAUUAGCUAGUUGGUGGGGUAAAGGCUUACCAAGGCGACGAUCCGUAGCUGGUCUGAGAGGACGACCAGCCACACUGGGACUGAGACACGGCCCAGACUCCUACGGGAGGCAGCAGUGGGGAAUUUUGGACAAUGGGGGCAACCCUGAUCCAGCCAUGCCGCGUGCGGGAAGAAGGCCUUCGGGUUGUAAACCGCUUUUGUUCGGGAAGAAAUCCUCUGGGCUAAUACCCCGGGGGGAGGACGGUACCGGAAGAAUAAACACCGGCUAACUACGU